AAAAAAAAAAAAAAGUUCCAACUUAGAAAAAAUUCAUCAUAUGCAACAGAGUCAAUACCAUUAGUAUACAGAAAGAAUUUAAAGAUAAAUAAAAGCUGAAAGUGGACAAAGAAUAUAAACAUUCACUCACCACUGAUAUAUCACCAUCUAUCCAACAUUUUCAUGAGCAAAGAAAUUCAAUCAAUAAUAAGGCAGCAUGUUAGUCUACCAAAUUGGGAAAAAUUAAAAUGAUGAUUUUUAGUUUCAUAAGAGAUUGGGAGUAUAACUUCACUGGAGGACAAGGUAGUAAAAAUUAAAGAAUCCUAGGCAACUAUCUAAAAUGAUUUCAUUAGUUAGGUGGAAAGCUAUCCAUGAUACAAUGUAGUCUGAGGGAAAAAGAGGUCACAAAACAUGAUGCCUUUCAGGGGGAGAGGAUUUUUUCAAAAAAGCUUAUGUACUUACGUAAAUCAGGAAAUAAAUGAGCCAAGAUAUUAUGCUUGUUUGUGGGUGCUAGGAUUAUAGGAGACUUUAAUUUCGUUUUUGGAAUUUAAUAUUUUUUUAUAUCAAAUAUGUACUCCUUUUGAAAUAAACACUUAAAUGUAAUUUACACUAAACCAUCAGUAAUACUUUAUAUUCAUAUCCUGCAGUGAUGGCAUUAUGAAUGUGUAUAUCUGAGAAUACUGUCAGAUUUGCUACAACGCAAAUAUCAGUGCUGAGUAUACUCGACUCUUUUUUUUUGGUGUCAGUAACCAAAUGUAUCCCUGAGCCUGAGACACAGGAACAGGGCCCAUGAGUCACAGUGUUCCUCUGGCCUUCCGAGUAAAGACUAUUAAAGAAAGGUGCAGCGAUGCCCCAUAGCCGAGUGCAGGAACCUGGCGGGUACCCACCGCCCGCAGCCUGGCAGUGGGCAGGACUCCAGACGACAUUGGCUUACAGCAUCUCUGAACCUAAGACCGCGGCGCGGAGGGUUCCGGGAAAUGUAGUCUGGGACCCGCCGACUCGCACACUUCCGUUUCCGGUCCAGCGCACCUCUGCAGUUGAAACCACGCUUUGCCUAUGUGGGACUGUUCCUUUCCCAAAGAGGUCUUUAUAGAAGAGGAAGCCUGAUCUCUUGCCAGCAGAGCUUCAGGGUGCAUAUGUGUGUGGGGUCUCUCCACCCUUCUGAAGUGCCCUGUAUGUCACAGUGACGUCAGCUGCUGGGCCCUCCUGAAAGAUGCUUCUGUGACUCUCCUUGGCCAUCUGCAACAUUCUUGCUCUCUGGAUUCUGAGCCCCUCCAGAGCAAGGACUAUACCCAUAGCUACUCAGUAAAUUUUUUUUUUUUUGAGACAGAGUCUCACAC
Non-coding RNA from Microcebus murinus (gray mouse lemur), 1319 nucleotides. Lineage: Eukaryota; Metazoa; Chordata; Mammalia; Primates; Cheirogaleidae. The record is from RefSeq and is a predicted model, not a curated record.